GGCUGCACCUGGGGUAUAUUUGUCUUGAAAACAAAUUAAAAGUGUUCAAAUCACUUAACAGCCU
RNAcentral lists this transfer RNA (64 nucleotides) under Bithynia leachii. RNAcentral's name for it is "tRNA-Ser". Lineage: Eukaryota; Metazoa; Mollusca; Gastropoda; Littorinimorpha; Bithyniidae. The record is from RNAcentral.